RNAcentral lists this long non-coding RNA (1199 nucleotides) under Ovis aries (sheep). RNAcentral describes it as "lncRNA (ENSOARG00000025377.1)". Lineage: Eukaryota; Metazoa; Chordata; Mammalia; Artiodactyla; Bovidae. The record is from RNAcentral.
GCACUGCCAUCCAUCACAGGCCAUGUUCACAGUCCUGAUUUGCUGGAGCCAGUGCCCAAGAAACCACGCUUUGAGGCAAUGAAGAGUCCCUUCUCUGAUAUUUCGGAGGCAUCAUCUGUUGGUGGUUCAUGUUUACCACAUUCUGCCCAGAUCUCCGAGGAGCUUCAGCAGACUUUUGAUACCUCUUCCCAGGUGCCCAAUCAGGAGGAGGUGAAGCAGCAGCAGCUGCAACAACAACAGCAGCAGCUGCAACAGCAACAGCAGCAGCUGCAACAGCAACAGCAGCAGGAGGAGCAGCAACAACAGCAGCAGCAGCAACCGCAACAAGCGGAAGCAACAUCAGCAGCACCCCGGCCCAGCCACAACAGUAUAAUACCACCGGGGAGAACCAAGUAAUGCAUGUAUUCAUGCCAAACCAACCUAGCUUCUCUAUGUUGCGCUACAACGAAGGCUUCAUGCCCCCCCCCCCCCCCCCCCCCCCACCCCCCCCCCCCCCCCCCCCCCCCCCACCAUCACCCCCACCACCACCACCACCACCACCACCGCCACCCAUGUUUAUUCCUAUCCAAAUGGUGGCUGAACAGCAGCCUUCUGGCUAUUAUCGUGCUGGAAACCUCAAUGCCUCUGGCUACUAUCGUGCUGAAAGUGUCAAUGCCCCUGGAUAUUAUCGUGCUGAAAACCUCAGUGCCUCUGGCUACUAUCGUGCUGAAAGCCUCAAUGCCCCUGGAUACUACCGUGCUGAAAACUUCAAUGCCUCUGGGUACUAUCGUGCUGAAAAUUUCAAUGGCCCAGAAAAUGGUAGAUUCAGAUUUUUUCCUGAAAACCACCAUCAGCCCCGCAUGAAUCUUUUCUCUAUGACCCACGGCCCAGGGUCCCAUGCCAUUUAUUCUGCCAGCCUCCCUCAGACUACUACCAUAACCCACAACCCACAGCUUGUUACCCUGGAGACUCCACAGGACUACAUCCGCCUCUGGCAACGGCCGCAAGACACGCAGAGUCAUGUCUACCAAGCAGUCCAAAUGAGUAAUUGGGUUCCCAAUGAGCAGGCCACCGUGGGACAAGCCACUUGUACUCAGGUGGCACCCACUGAACAAGUCCAGCAUUCUUCAGGACUGCAGACUGUCCAAGCCUCUGGGAAUAAUGGGCAGAACCAGCUAAACUCCUGUAUGUCAUCACAGCAGUCCCACUUGAAUCCGUAG